This 310-nucleotide ribosomal RNA is filed under the name Escherichia albertii. Its description in RNAcentral is "bacterial SSU rRNA". It matches the Rfam family "Bacterial small subunit ribosomal RNA", at positions 1 to 307 of the family's 1533-position model. Lineage: Bacteria; Pseudomonadati; Pseudomonadota; Gammaproteobacteria; Enterobacterales; Enterobacteriaceae. The record is from RNAcentral.
AAAUUGAAGAGUUUGAUCAUGGCUCAGAUUGAACGCUGGCGGCAGGCCUAACACAUGCAAGUCGAACGGUAACAGGAAGAAGCUUGCUUCUUUGCUGACGAGUGGCGGACGGGUGAGUAAUGUCUGGGAAACUGCCCGAUGGAGGGGGAUAACUACUGGAAACGGUAGCUAAUACCGCAUAACGUCGCAAGACCAAAGAGGGGGACCUUCGGGCCUCUUGCCAUCGGAUGUGCCCAGAUGGGAUUAGCUUGUUGGUGAGGUAACGGCUCACCAAGGCGACGAUCCCUAGCUGGUCUGAGAGGAUGACCAG